GUCAAUUCUAGCUAUCAGAAAUUUUUUUUAGCUAUCAGAAAGCUACUGAGGUGAAUUAUCUAGCAAAAGACCUCCUGAGCCAGAGUAAUGACAGCAUGGUGUGUGAAAUGCGGUGGUCUACGUCACACAGGAGAGAGUGAAAGGACCAUGUUGAUAUCUCUGGUGUUGG
This is a long non-coding RNA of Ictalurus punctatus (channel catfish), 169 nucleotides long. RefSeq lists it as uncharacterized. The transcript has 3 exons. NCBI's taxonomy places the organism in Eukaryota, Metazoa, Chordata, Actinopteri, Siluriformes, Ictaluridae. The record is from RefSeq and is a predicted model, not a curated record.